UGGUGGGGGUCCGUGUCUUCUGUUUUUGGAGGUUCCAAUGAAAUAAAUUUUCUUGGGAACCAUGUAAAAGACCCUUCCCUGAUCUUUAAUCUGACCCUAGGUGCAGGUCUAUUGUGUGCUGUAGAGAGCAGCCUUGCUCUACUGCUGCUGGGGCUAUUUACAGUCUGAGGGUGGCUGUGAUCGCUGCAGUCUGAGAAAGGGCAAGCUGGCAAGUUAUCUCCAGCACUGCUUCAGACUUUGUCAUUCCUGACUCCUCUACCUUCUCCCCUUGUGAGCAUUUGAAGGGGGAAUGGGAAUUGCAGUCAGUCCACAAUGCCUUGUUAUUAUUGUUAAUUUCUCCUCACACUUUUCCCUUGUGCAAGUGUGGGGUUUCAGCUGUUGCAUCUGCUCCAUAUGAACUACUCCAGUGUUGCUCCUUUCCACAGGUUGUAGUUCUUGAAGAAUUGCUCCAGAGUGGGUCCUUUUCAAGGGGUGCAGUCCUUCAGGAAUGGGUUGCUUUAGUGUGGGGCCCCCACAAGCCACAGAUCCAGAAAACCUGCUCCUGUGUGGACUCCUCUCCAGAGGCCACAGUUUUCUGCCAGGUCUGCUGCUCUCUAGAGGCUGCAACUUUCUUCAGAAGAUGUCCAGCUGCUGCAGCAUGGGAUUUCCAGAGGCUGCAGUGUGAUACCUACUCCACCACGGUUUUCCAGAGGCUGCACGGAACCCCUGCUCUGGAGCCCCCCUCCUUUCUGAUGAGCUCAGCUGUGUUCCCUGGUGAGUCCAUUGGAGCUGGCUGGACCUAUGUGUCCAGCACAAGCUAGUAUCUGGUUUUGUCUCACAGAGGCAACACUUGCAGUCCUGCAGCUGCCAAAAUCUUGCCAGGUUUUUCAUGGAUCUCUCUCUCUUCAUGAUAGAAGAUCUCUUGUUAGCUUGAAGUGCUCUGAGGCUCUGCUAGCAUCUAUUCCUCUGCACCCCAGGUGUUCCUUUUUGCCUCCUUCCAGCCCUUCUCCUUGUAGCAAACCCUCUGUCUCAGCCACUGUCAAGAUUGGGCAGAGUUCAUUGAGCUGUGAGGUCUAAAGGUCUGAAGUUACACUUCCCAGAGCAUAUCCAAGGCACUCCUCAAUCCAUGCAGACACCAGUAGGCUCUGGUGUAGCUUCAGUGUGGCUUCAGUGGCACGGAUGUUCUUGUUUAAUUGUAAACUCUGGCAUGUGCUGAAGAAGCCUGGUAGCUGGGAGAGCUUGGUGCUUGGGAGCCAAGCAAUAAAGCUGAUGUAGUGUGGAAUAGCCUGGCCUCAGCCUCCCUAGGCUUCUCAUCCAGAAAGACACAAACUAGACCAGAGUGUGAUUCAGAGCAGCUUCAUCUUCUGAAUGUCCCUGGCAAUUGCGUCUCCUUCUGCACUGACAAUAAAUACCGCUAAUGGCAGCCCCUUUCUACCUUAACCACUGCUUUAAUAGGGAGUGGGAAGGUCACAGUCAGAUACAGUGGAGCUUGAGAGUUGAGAAAAGACUUGCAGAUAAUGUAUCAAAGUUACUAUGCAGGUAUGCGUUAGCUGGAGAAAGUCACUAAUAGCACAAAACAAUAACAGCAAAAAAGCCUUGCAGACAGAUUUUAAUAUUUUUUUUCCCCCCAUCUUUAUAAGUUGCUAAUUCCCUGAUCAGCAGAAAAGAGUAGCAAGGAAAAAGUAGACAAGAAAAAUAUAUUCUUAUUAUCUGGAUUGAAUUUUGCCUGGAGCUUUCUUUUUAUUUUUUUCCCUUUAGUGUGACUGAGCAAUGGCUGCUGAACUGCCAGCGAGCGUAUUUUAUUGCGAUCCUGUGUAUGUCAUUGCCCUGCUGCCAGUGGCAUGUAUACUCAUCAGUCAAACAGAACUAUCCAACAUGUUUGAUUUACUGUCACUGAAUCAAAUCUAUUUGUGGGUUUCCAUAACAUAAAACAUUUUGCUAGAGAUUAAUCCCCUGAUUUGCAUGUUGCUCUUGGGAACUAUAUCAUUACUUUCUUUGAUGGAUUCAUUUUGAAGUCAAGAAAGAUGCAACUUGAUUUUUUACUCUGUAUUCCAGGUGGUGCCUUGCUCUUUGUUAUCUGACCUUUAUAUUAACUCUUCCCUUUGUCAGUCUCAGAGGUAUUACUCAUAUUUGUGUCUGCUAGUGGAAGAUUAAGUGAUUUUAGCUCAGUCAGGACAGUAAAAAGAGACUCUCAGAACACCCUGGUGAAUGUACCAGCAAACACCAUGUUUCUGAUUUUGGAAUUGUUGCCUUUUCUCAGGCUUGCUGCUGUGAACAUGCUAGAAAGUAAAAUUGUAUUUGUUCACUGACAUCUGUUUCAAUUUAUACUCCAAGAUGAAGAUCCACUUGGAUAAA
Non-coding RNA from Cyanistes caeruleus (blue tit), 2334 nucleotides. Lineage: Eukaryota; Metazoa; Chordata; Aves; Passeriformes; Paridae. The record is from RefSeq and is a predicted model, not a curated record.